This 404-nucleotide ribosomal RNA is filed under the name uncultured bacterium. RNAcentral describes it as "bacterial SSU rRNA". It matches the Rfam family "Bacterial small subunit ribosomal RNA", at positions 355 to 776 of the family's 1533-position model. The record is from RNAcentral.
UGGGGAAUAUUGGACAAUGGGCGCAAGCCUGAUCCAGCCAUGCCGCGUGAGUGAUGAAGGCCCUAGGGUUGUAAAGCUCUUUCGGCGGGGACGAUAAUGACGGUACCCGCAGAAGAAGCCCCGGCUAACUUCGUGCCAGCAGCCGCGGUAAUACGAAGGGGGCUAGCGUUGCUCGGAAUCACUGGGCGUAAAGCGCACGUAGGCGGAUCUUUAAGUCAGGGGUGAAAUCCCGGGGCUCAACCUCGGAACUGCCUUUGAUACUGGGGAUCUCGAGUCCGGAAGAGGUUGGUGGAACUCCGAGUGUAGAGGUGAAAUUCGUAGAUAUUCGGAAGAACACCAGUGGCGAAGGCGGCCAACUGGUCCGGCACUGACGCUGAGGUGCGAAAGCGUGGGGAGCAAACAGG